UGUGUGUGUGUGUGUGUGAGUGUGUGUGUGUGUGUGUGUGUGCGUGUGAGUGUGUGUGUGUGUGACCCCUGCUCCCACCUCAGCUGAAAGCACAGCGUUCCACUCAAUUAGUGGCAUGAAAUAUUAAUGCCUGUCUGGGGUUGUAUUUAUGUUUACACUGGGAUUAAAAGCCUCCGGUGUCGGCUAUCACACUGAAGAUGUGUGUGUGUGUGUGUGUGUGUGUGUGUGUGUCUGCUGCCUUCAGUCCUAACACUGAGUUCGUCAAACAGACUAGUGACGUUUUGACUACACCUCCAGAUAUCCGACAUCAUCUUCAAGUGCAAACUGCGAUUACAAACUUCCUUUACUGUUAAUUCAAGCCUUCCUUUCGCUACAGUCCAAGUGUUUUGGUUUGCCAGAGAGAGAGAGAGAGAGAGAUGAUUUGGAAGACGCGGAUGAUGACGGAGCGAUUCCGCUGGUAAUCUGUUUUUUGAAUCCGUCUCGCUCUCCCCAAGUGUCCAGACGUCGCCAGGAGGAUCGGCAGGCCGCGCGCAGCUAAGAUGCAGUGUGGCUGUAACUCCCCCAUAGGACCCAUCAUCUCUCCAUGCUGGAACCGAGUGCUGUUCCCUGAUUGGGC
Alosa alosa (allis shad) is the source of this 616-nucleotide long non-coding RNA. RefSeq lists it as uncharacterized. The transcript is spliced from 3 exons. NCBI's taxonomy places the organism in Eukaryota, Metazoa, Chordata, Actinopteri, Clupeiformes, Clupeidae. The record is from RefSeq and is a predicted model, not a curated record.